RNAcentral lists this ribosomal RNA (402 nucleotides) under bacterium. RNAcentral's name for it is "partial 16S ribosomal RNA". It matches the Rfam family "Bacterial small subunit ribosomal RNA", at positions 355 to 776 of the family's 1533-position model. The record is from RNAcentral.
UGGGGAAUUUUGCACAAUGGGGGAAACCCUGAUGCAGCGACGCCGCGUGAUUUAGAAGGCCUUCGGGUUGUAAAAAUCUUUUCUAUGGGAAGAAAAUGACAGUACCAUAGGAAUAAGGACCGGCUAAUUACGUGCCAGCAGCCGCGGUAAUACGUAAGGUCCGAGCGUUGUCCGGAAUCAUUGGGCGUAAAGGGUACGUAGGCGGGUAAGCAAGUUAGAAAUGAAAUCCUAUAGCUCAACUAUAGUAAGCUUUUAAAACUGCUCAUCUUGAGGUAUGGAAGGGAAAGUGGAAUUCCUAGUGUAGCGGUGAAAUGCGCAGAUAUUAGGAGGAAUACCGGUGGCGAAGGCGACUUUCUGGCCAUAACCUGACGCUGAGGUACGAAAGCGUGGGUAGCAAACAGG